CGCCUCUGGGCCAACUCUGAGGUAGCUCCAGCUGAACUGAGAGUUUGGCUUUUCUAAGAGAGGUAUACGGGUGACGCCUUCGAUCCGCCUUCCUCAUGUCAAUUCUUGAUAACUUCCAAGAGCCAAGUGAGAAGAAGGCAGUGAUGCAGGAGGAGAGACCACUGGAGAUAGGCCAGACCUUCAUUUUUUAGUAUGCUGUGGAGAAUGCCACAAAGUCCAUGGGUCGGGCAAUGAUGGGAAAAUGAAGAUGGAUUCUUUCUUGGAGCCCAGCUAACAGGAGUUGGAGAAAAUCUCCAAGACCUCCACGGCCCCUGCAUGUAAUUGUGAUAAAGAAGAAAAUAGCAGAGAAGCCCCUCCCUCGUGGUCCCCGCUGGAGCUCUUCAACCUCCCUGGACGUUGUUGCCUGUGAGGGGUAAGU
Long non-coding RNA from Camelus dromedarius (Arabian camel), 418 nucleotides. RefSeq lists it as uncharacterized. The record is from RefSeq and is a predicted model, not a curated record. The transcript has 4 exons. NCBI's taxonomy places the organism in Eukaryota, Metazoa, Chordata, Mammalia, Artiodactyla, Camelidae.